GAUGAACGCUGGCGGCGUGCCUAAUACAUGCAAGUCGAACGCUGAAGGAAGAGCUUGCUCUUCUGGAUGAGUUGCGAACGGGUGAGUAACGCGUAGGUAACCUGCCUGGUAGCGGGGGAUAACUAUUGGAAACGCUAGCUAAUACCGCAUGACAACAGUUAUUGCAUGAUUACUGUUUAAAAGUGGCAACUGCUCCACUACCAGAUGGACCUGCGUUGUAUUAGCUAGUUGGUGAGGUAACGGCGCAACAAGGCGACGAUACAUAGCCGACCUGAGGGGGUGGUCCGCCACACUGGGACUGAGACAACGCACAGAAUCCUUCGGGGAGGCGCAGUAGGGAAUUCUUCGGAAUGGAGGGAAAGCUGACCGAGCAAAGCCGGGGGAGGGAAGAAGGUUCUCCGAUCGGAAAGCUUUUUUGUAAGGGAAGGAAGAAAGUUAGAGUGGAAAGUUCACACUGUGACGGUACCUAACCAGAAAGCGACGGCUAACUACGUG
RNAcentral lists this ribosomal RNA (495 nucleotides) under uncultured bacterium. Its description in RNAcentral is "partial 16S ribosomal RNA". It matches the Rfam family "Bacterial small subunit ribosomal RNA", at positions 28 to 507 of the family's 1533-position model. The record is from RNAcentral.